GACGAACGCUGGCGGCGUGCUUAACACAUGCAAGUCGAACGAUGAAGCCCUUCGGGGUGGAUUAGUGGCGAACGGGUGAGUAACACGUGGGCAAUCUGCCCUUCACUCUGGGACAAGCCCUGGAAACGGGGUCUAAUACCGGAUAUCACUCUCGCAGGCAUCUGUGAGGGUCGAAAGCUCCGGCGGUGAAGGAUGAGCCCGCGGCCUAUCAGCUUGUUGGUGAGGUAAUGGCUCACCAAGGCGACGACGGGUAGCCGGCCUGAGAGGGCGACCGGCCACACUGGGACUGAGACACGGCCCAGACUCCUACGGGAGGCAGCAGUGGGGAAUAUUGCACAAUGGGCGAAAGCCUGAUGCAGCGACGCCGCGUGAGGGAUGACGGCCUUCGGGUUGUAAACCUCUUUCAGCAGGGAAGAAGCGAAAGUGACGGUACCUGCAGAAGAAGCACCGGCUAACUUCGUGCCAGCCGCCGCGGUAA
This 478-nucleotide ribosomal RNA is filed under the name uncultured bacterium. Its description in RNAcentral is "partial 16S ribosomal RNA". It matches the Rfam family "Bacterial small subunit ribosomal RNA", at positions 28 to 523 of the family's 1533-position model. The record is from RNAcentral.